ACCCUCUCUAGGUCGAUCUUUCUCAAUCAAAAACACACAAACACAACAAAUAAACCCUAUCUCUGUCUCAAUCCUUCUCUAUAUCGAUUCUUGAUCAAUCGAAAAACCCCCUCUAUUUCGAUCCACGCCUCUCUGUCUCGAUCCUUCUCUAUCAGAAACACAGACACAACAAAUAAAACCAUUCAUCGAUUCGUGAUCAAUCCAUAUAUACACCGCUACCAGCAGCUCGAUUCGUGACGCCACCAACAGAUUCGUGAUCAAUCCAUAUAUACACCGCCACCAGCAGAUCGAUUCGUGCUCAAUCGAUAUAUAGGGAAAGACAUCGCCACCAGCAACGAUCUAUUAAUUAAACCCGCCAUCAAAAGCAUUGUUGAUCAUGGAUGUUUUAAAGAAUGGAUGGAUGGCCACGAUGAAUCUGGUUCAAAUGAUACAAUGCAAAAUGCUCUCUUUUCUGCCAGUGAGACCACCAAGGUGGUUGCUACCUUUUAUAGACAGAAUUGGACCAUCCAACCCAAGCUCAUCAAGGUUAAAGUAGGUUAGGAUGAUAUACAUUUUUCAUUUGAUGAUAUUUGGUUCUCAAGUUUAAGGUCCAUCUGUUUGCCUCAUUUCGCUUAUCACUUUCGUACUUUUGUUAACAAAACUAUAAUCUUGCAAGUAUUACUAUUCAGAGGUUUAUCAAGCUUCAGUGCCUACUUCUGGAUUUAAUCUACCAGAAUCUGUGUUUUCACAUGGACAACUUUAUGUGGCAUUAUAAAGAGGGUUUUUACGACAAAAUACCAAGGUGUUACUCAAUCUUGCCAAAAAACUUUAAACAUCCUGUAGUGUUCACCUCAAAUGUUGUCUACCGGGAAGUGUUACGUGACGAACGAACCAUAUAUAAUGAGCUAAAUUUUAUAUCUUUUUGAACAUUUGUACCCAUUCCUUUUGCCUUGUAUAUUGGUUAUACCUUAUGAUCAACUGAAUUUUAGGUUAUAUAAACAUUUGUAACCAUUACAUGGAUCCUGAGGCUGAAUUUUCGUCUCUUGGUUGUAUUCCAACUACAAUAUUAUUUGGUGAAGUAUCUUCAUCAUUUAGUUCAUAAUUGAUUUUGGUUUUCAUUUGCU
Erigeron canadensis is the source of this 1103-nucleotide RNA transcript. RefSeq lists it as uncharacterized. NCBI's taxonomy places the organism in Eukaryota, Viridiplantae, Streptophyta, Magnoliopsida, Asterales, Asteraceae. The transcript is spliced from 4 exons. The record is from RefSeq and is a predicted model, not a curated record.